RNAcentral lists this ribosomal RNA (443 nucleotides) under uncultured soil bacterium. RNAcentral's name for it is "bacterial SSU rRNA". It matches the Rfam family "Bacterial small subunit ribosomal RNA", at positions 26 to 518 of the family's 1533-position model. The record is from RNAcentral.
AGAACGAACGCUGGCGGCAUGCCUAACACAUGCAAGUCGAACGAGACCUUCGGGUCUAGUGGCGCACGGGUGCGUAACGCGUGGGAAUCUACCCUGGGUUCGGAAUAACAGUUGGAAACGACUGCUAAUACCGGAUGAUGACGUAAGUCCAAAGAUUUAUCGCCCAGGGAUGAGCCCGCGUAGGAUUAGCUAGUUGGUGAGGUAAAGGCUCACCAAGGCGACGAAUCCUUAGCUGGUCUGAGAGGAUGAUCAGCCACACUGGGACUGAGACACGGCCCAGACUCCUACGGGAGGCAGCAGUGGGGAAUAUUGGACAAUGGGCGAAAGCCUGAUCCAGCAAUGCCGCGUGAGUGAUGAAGGCCUUAGGGUUGUAAAGCUCUUUACCCGAGAUGAUAAUGACAGUAUCGGAGAAUAAGCCCGGCUAACUCCGCGCCAGCAGCCGC